This 225-nucleotide unclassified non-coding RNA is filed under the name Chaetosphaeriaceae sp. RNAcentral describes it as "partial contains small subunit ribosomal RNA, internal transcribed spacer 1, and 5.8S ribosomal RNA". The record is from RNAcentral. RNAcentral also lists the same sequence under 1 other name. Lineage: Eukaryota; Fungi; Ascomycota; Sordariomycetes; Chaetosphaeriales; Chaetosphaeriaceae.
UCUCCGUUGGUGAACCAGCGGAGGGAUCAUUACAGGACUCGCAAGACUCCUACAACCCUGUGAACUUAACUAUAAGCACGUUGCUUCGGCGGGUGUCUCGGCGAGGGUCCUCCCUCCCCGGGGCGCUAAGCCCGCCGGCAGCCUACUAUACUCUGUCUCUUUGCGUUGGCAUCUCGAGUACAAUCAAACAAGUUAAAACUUUCAACAACGGAUCUCUUGGUUCUG